RNAcentral lists this ribosomal RNA (253 nucleotides) under uncultured bacterium. RNAcentral describes it as "partial 16S ribosomal RNA". It matches the Rfam family "Bacterial small subunit ribosomal RNA", at positions 524 to 776 of the family's 1533-position model. The record is from RNAcentral.
CACGUAGGGCGCAAGCGUUGUCCGGAAUUAUUGGGCGUAAAGAGCUCGUAGGCGGUCUGUUGCGUCCGCUGUGAAAACUCGGGGCUUAACCCCGAGCCUGCAGUGGAUACGGGCAGACUAGAGGUAGGUAGGGGAGAAUGAAAUUCCCGGUGUAGCGGUGAAAUGCGCAGAUAUCGGGAGGAACACCGGUGGCGAAGGCGGUUCUCUGGGCCUUACCUGACGCUGAGGAGCGAAAGCGUGGGGAGCGAACAGG